GACGAACGCUGGCGGCGUGCUUAACACAUGCAAGUCGAGCGGUAAGGCCCUUUCGGGGGUACACGAGCGGCGAACGGGUGAGUAACACGUGGGUGACCUGCCCUCAGCUCUGGGAUAAGCCUGGGAAACCGGGUCUAAUACCGGAUAUGACUCCAUGACGCAUGUUGUGGGGUGGAAAGCCUUGUGCGGCUGAGGAUGGGCCCGCGGCCUAUCAGCUUGUUGGUGGGGUGAUGGCCUACCAA
This 242-nucleotide ribosomal RNA is filed under the name uncultured bacterium. RNAcentral's name for it is "partial 16S ribosomal RNA". It matches the Rfam family "Bacterial small subunit ribosomal RNA", at positions 28 to 271 of the family's 1533-position model. The record is from RNAcentral.